This 250-nucleotide ribosomal RNA is filed under the name uncultured prokaryote. RNAcentral's name for it is "partial 16S rRNA". It matches the Rfam family "Bacterial small subunit ribosomal RNA", at positions 525 to 775 of the family's 1533-position model. The record is from RNAcentral.
ACGUAGGGGGCAAGCGUUAUCCGGAAUUAUUGGGCGCAAAGAGUGCGUAGGUGGUUUUUUAAGCGUGAGGUGAAAGGCAAUAGCUUAACUAUUGUAAGCCUUGCGAACUGGAAGACUUGAGUGCAGGAGAGGAAAGUGGAAUUCCUAGUGUAGCGGUGAAAUGCGUAGUUAUUAGGAGGAGCACCAGUGACGAAGGCGCCUUUCUGGACUGUAACUGACACUGAGGCAUAAAAGCGUGGAGAGCAAACAG